Molecule: ribosomal RNA, 480 nt
Filed under: uncultured bacterium
Lineage: Bacteria
Description: partial 16S ribosomal RNA
Rfam family: Bacterial small subunit ribosomal RNA
Source: RNAcentral
GAUGAACGCUGGCGGCGUGCUUAACACAUGCAAGUCGAACGAUGAAGCCAGCUUGCUGGUGGAUUAGUGGCGAACGGGUGAGUAACACGUGAGUAACCUGCCCUUAACUCUGGGAUAAGCCUGGGAAACUGGGUCUAAUACCGGAUAUGACUCCUCAUCGCAUGGUGGGGGGUGGAAAGCUUUUGUGGUUUUGGAUGGACUCGCGGCCUAUCAGCUUGUUGGUGAGGUAAUGGCUCACCAAGGCGACGACGGGUAGCCGGCCUGAGAGGGUGAGCGGCCACACUGGGACUGAGACACGGCCCAGACUCCUACGGGAGGCAGCAGUGGGGAAUAUUGCACAAUGGGCGGAAGCCUGAUGCAGCGACGCCGCGUGAGGGAUGACGGCCUUCGGGUUGUAAACCUCUUUCAGUAGGGAAGAAGCGUAAGUGACGGUACCUGCAGAAGAAGCGCCGGCUAACUACGUGCCAGCAGCCGCCGUAA